RNAcentral lists this ribosomal RNA (497 nucleotides) under uncultured bacterium. Its description in RNAcentral is "partial 16S ribosomal RNA". It matches the Rfam family "Bacterial small subunit ribosomal RNA", at positions 28 to 507 of the family's 1533-position model. The record is from RNAcentral.
GAUGAACGCUGGCGGCGUGCCUAAUACAUGCAAGUCGAGCGAACAGACGAGGAGCUUGCUCCUCUGACGUUAGCGGCGGACGGGUGAGUAACACGUGGAUAACCUACCUAUAAGACUGGGAUAACUUCGGGAAACCGGAGCCAAUACCGGAUAACAUGUUGAACCGCAUGGUUCAACAGUGAAAGACGGUUUUGCUGUCACUUAUAGAUGGAUCCGCGCCGCAUUAGCUAGUUGGUAAGGUAACGGCUUACCAAGGCAACGAUGCGUAGCCGACCUGAGAGGGUGAUCGGCCACACUGGAACUGAGACACGGUCCAGACUCCUACGGGAGGCAGCAGUAGGGAAUCUUCCGCAAUGGGCGAAAGCCUGACGGAGCAACGCCGCGUGAGUGAAGAAGGUCUUCGGAUCGUAAAACUCUGUUAUUAGGGAAGAACAAAUGUGUAAGUAACUAUGCACGUCUUGACGGUACCUAAUCAGAAAGCCACGGCUAACUACGUG